UACAGAGGGUGCGAGCGUUAAUCGGAAUUACUGGGCGUAAAGGGCGCGUAGGCGGCCUGUUAAGUCGAACGUGAAAUCCCCGGGCUCAACCCGGGAACUGCGUCCGAUACUGGCAGGCUCGAAUCCGGGAGAGGGAAGCGGAAUUUCGGGUGUAGCGGUGAAAUGCGCAGAUAUCCGAAGGAACACCGGUGGCGAAGGCGGCUUCCUGGACCGACACUGACGCUGAGGCGCGAAAGCUAGGGGAGCAAACGGG
RNAcentral lists this ribosomal RNA (253 nucleotides) under uncultured bacterium. RNAcentral describes it as "partial 16S ribosomal RNA". It matches the Rfam family "Bacterial small subunit ribosomal RNA", at positions 524 to 776 of the family's 1533-position model. The record is from RNAcentral.